RNAcentral lists this ribosomal RNA (253 nucleotides) under uncultured bacterium. RNAcentral describes it as "partial 16S ribosomal RNA". It matches the Rfam family "Bacterial small subunit ribosomal RNA", at positions 524 to 776 of the family's 1533-position model. The record is from RNAcentral.
GACGAACCGUGCGAACGUUGUUCGGAAUCACUGGGCUUAAAGGGCGCGUAGGCGGGUCUGCAAGUCCGGGGUGAAAGCCCCCAGCUCAACCGGGGAAGUGCCUUGGAAACUGCGGGUCUAGAGGGAGGUAGGGGCAUGUGGAACUUCGGGUGUAGCGGUGAAAUGCGUUGAUAUCCGAAGGAACGCCGGUGGCGAAGGCGACGUGCUGGAUCUCUACUGACGCUGAGGCGCGAAAGCCUGGGGAGCGAACAGG